GUACUCACUGGCAGUACAUAUACUAAAAUUGGAAAGAUACAGAGAAGAUUAACAUGGCGCCUGUGCAAAACAUGAAGCAUUCCAUAUUUUU
RNAcentral lists this small nuclear RNA (91 nucleotides) under Physeter macrocephalus (sperm whale). The record is from RNAcentral. Lineage: Eukaryota; Metazoa; Chordata; Mammalia; Artiodactyla; Physeteridae.